RNAcentral lists this non-coding RNA (88 nucleotides) under Ascidiaceihabitans donghaensis. RNAcentral describes it as "Glycine riboswitch aptamer". It matches the Rfam family "Glycine riboswitch aptamer". From Rfam's summary of the family: This family represents the bacterial glycine riboswitch. Glycine riboswitches usually consist of two metabolite-binding aptamers domains with similar structures in tandem. The record is from Rfam by way of RNAcentral. Lineage: Bacteria; Pseudomonadati; Pseudomonadota; Alphaproteobacteria; Rhodobacterales; Paracoccaceae.
UAAGACCCCAUGGGAGAGCGCAGGACACCCUGCCGCCGAAGGAGCAACGCCCCGGAAACUCUCAGGCACCAAGGACCGUGUGGGCCGC